GCGCCCGUAGCUCAGCUGGAUAGAGCAGCGGAUUUCUAAUCCGCUGGUCGCAGGUUCGAGUCCUGCCGGGCGUGCCA
RNAcentral lists this transfer RNA (77 nucleotides) under Planctomycetota bacterium. RNAcentral's name for it is "tRNA-Arg". It matches the Rfam family "tRNA". From Rfam's summary of the family: Transfer RNA (tRNA) molecules are approximately 80 nucleotides in length. Lineage: Bacteria; Pseudomonadati; Planctomycetota. The record is from RNAcentral.